UAAGACGAACCGUGCGAACGUUGUUCGGAAUCACUGGGCUUAAAGGGCGCGUAGGCGGGCUCGCCGGUCCGGGGUGAAAGCCCCCAGCUCAACUGGGGAAGCGCCUUGGAUACCGCGAGUCUGGAGGGAGGUAGGGGCGUGCGGAACUUCCGGUGGAGCGGUGAAAUGCGUAGAUAUCGGAAGGAACACCGGUGGCGAAAGCGGCGCGCUGGACCUCUUCUGACGCUGAGGCGCGAAAGCCAGGGGAGCAAACGGG
RNAcentral lists this ribosomal RNA (256 nucleotides) under uncultured bacterium. RNAcentral describes it as "partial 16S ribosomal RNA". It matches the Rfam family "Bacterial small subunit ribosomal RNA", at positions 521 to 776 of the family's 1533-position model. The record is from RNAcentral.